RNAcentral lists this transfer RNA (76 nucleotides) under Desulfovibrio sp. RNAcentral's name for it is "tRNA-Thr". It matches the Rfam family "tRNA". From Rfam's summary of the family: Transfer RNA (tRNA) molecules are approximately 80 nucleotides in length. Their secondary structure includes four short double-helical elements and three loops (D, anti-codon, and T loops). Further hydrogen bonds mediate the characteristic L-shaped molecular structure. tRNAs have two regions of fundamental functional importance: the anti-codon, which is responsible for specific mRNA codon recognition, and the 3' end, to which the tRNAs corresponding amino acid is attached (by aminoacyl-tRNA synthetases). tRNAs cope with the degeneracy of the genetic code in two manners: having more than one tRNA (with a specific anti-codon) for a particular amino acid; and 'wobble' base-pairing, i.e. permitting non-standard base-pairing at the 3rd anti-codon position. The record is from RNAcentral. Lineage: Bacteria; Pseudomonadati; Thermodesulfobacteriota; Desulfovibrionia; Desulfovibrionales; Desulfovibrionaceae.
GCCUUUGUAGCUCAGUCGGCAGAGCGCAUCCUUGGUAAGGAUGAGGUCAGCAGUUCAAUCCUGCUCAAAGGCUCCA